Long non-coding RNA from Adelges cooleyi (spruce gall adelgid), 1314 nucleotides. RefSeq lists it as uncharacterized. The transcript is spliced from 3 exons. The record is from RefSeq and is a predicted model, not a curated record. Lineage: Eukaryota; Metazoa; Arthropoda; Insecta; Hemiptera; Adelgidae.
UGAGUAAGUUUUGUACUGCGGUUCGGUUUCCCGUUUCAGAAUAAAUUAUAUUAAAAUUUAAAUACCCAACAGUAAAUAAUUGGUUUUAAAAAUGUUUAAAUUUAAGUUUCAUCAACUGACUAGUAAUAAUGUAUUAUUGAAAAACAAAGAACAAGUCGUCGAUAGUCACAGCCCUCUACUACCGAUGUCACGACUUCCACAGAGAUAAAAAAAACAGAAAAAUAAUUUGCUGAAAUCAUAAUAACUUUUGUCUUGAACAAGCAACGGAACUUUGUGUACCUACAAAGCGGUAUACGAGUCGUGCAACUAUGCUACACACAUACUCACGAUUGCUAACGAUCCAAAGCGAUACUGGUUAAAAUGAACUCUUAUGACAAUAUCGAUUCAGGAAUUGAUUACAGCGUAGAAUUAUAAUAUGUUAUACGUAACAAUAAUCAUAGUACCUAAACUACUGAUACAGCUCGGUGAACAAACACUGGACCACUCUGCGUCAACACUGAGGACGUGCAAAAUGUGGAGCACAUCUUUGACAAAAUUGAAUAAGCUCGACUCCGCAUAAGACAUCAUUUUCUUUUAAGAACUACCAUGAAACCUGUCAAAGACGGAAUCGCACAGGUCUAACAAACAGUUGCGAUUGAGGCUGGUGUAGCGCAGUAGUCAUUGUGCUGGCGAUUACGUGUACUGUUAACGGUUCAAUUCCUGUCACAGAGCAUCAAUUUGCGAGACUACAAGUGUCGCCUUCCAAUUGCAAUACACCGUUUCCCCUGCUCAGGAUACACUCCACUAGAAGUGGCGUCCACAUGCAUAGUUAUCCAAAAGGAUUUUACAUAUUCUUUAACUGCUUUAUAAAUUGUGUUUUAGGUAUAUUUAUUUCCUCAAUUUUUUUUCAAAAUAUAUACUUCUAUAUCAUUGUCUUACUAUUUUUUUUUUUUAUUAAUUAACAUAUUAAGGGGUUCAAUUAUUGGUUUAAGUUUUUCAUUUAAUUGCCAUUAAAAUGUUAAAAAAAAUUUAAUUAACUCAAUAAACCGAUUUAUGUGGGGUUUGAUAUUUCAGACAUAAUUAUCUAAAGUAAUUAAUUACCAUUUCCAUUAUAAUUUUAUGAUUUCAAAGUACGAUAAAAAUUUUAAUUUAGUCUAUUCAGUUACUGAUAGCUUAGCUUACGAGGUUGUAACAGAUAAUUUUGUAUCAAAACCUUAUACAUUAUGCUAUUUUAGAGUAAUAUUAUGACUCAAACAUUAAACGAGUAUUUUGUAUGUAACUACAAAACAAAAAACAACGUAUAUUAAGACAUUUUGAAAAAAUAGCAAUUAAAUU